RNAcentral lists this ribosomal RNA (439 nucleotides) under uncultured bacterium. Its description in RNAcentral is "bacterial SSU rRNA". It matches the Rfam family "Bacterial small subunit ribosomal RNA", at positions 954 to 1392 of the family's 1533-position model. The record is from RNAcentral.
GCUAAACGCGAAGAACCUUACCUGGCCUUGACAUCCGCGGAACUCGGCAGAAAUGCCUUGGUGCCUUCGGGAAUCGCGAGACAGGUGGUGCAUGGUUGUCGUCAGCUCGUGUCGUGAGAUGUUGGGUUAAGUCCCGCAACGAGCGCAACCCUUGUUCCUAGUUGCCAGCACGUUGGGUGGGCACUCUAGGGAGACUGCCGGUGACAAACCGGAGGAAGGUGGGGAUGACGUCAAAUCAUCAUGCCCCUUAUGACCUGGGCUACACACGUGCUACAAUGGCCGCGACAAAGGGCAGCGAAGGGGCGACCCGGAGCGAAUCCCGACAAAGGCGGUCUCAGUUCGGAUUGCAGGCUGCAACUCGCCUGCAUGAAGUCGGAAUUGCUAGUAAUCGCGGAUCAGCAUGCCGCGGUGAAUACGUUCCCGGGUCUUGUACACACCG